AGAGUUUUAGUUUAUAUAGAAUUUAUCACUUACAAUGAUGGGGUUUAAACUCUU
This 54-nucleotide transfer RNA is filed under the name Strongyloides stercoralis. RNAcentral's name for it is "transfer RNA-Val". Lineage: Eukaryota; Metazoa; Nematoda; Chromadorea; Rhabditida; Strongyloididae. The record is from RNAcentral.